UGUCUCUAUCUGUUGCCGACUUGUUCAUCCCAAGCGCUUAGUACAGUGCUCUGCACAUAGUAAGCGCUCAAUAAAUACUAUUGAAUGAAUGAAUGAAUGAACCCGCGAGCUUCUGACUCCCAGGCCCACGCUCUAUCCAUUAUUCAAUUGUAUUUAUUGAGUGCUUACUGAGUGCAGAGCACUGAACUAAGCGCUUGGAAAGUAUAAUUCAUCAACUAAUAGAGACAAUCCCUACCCAACAAUGGGCUCAGAGAUGAGAUGAGAACCAGGCACACUAGGAGAGCUGAGCUAGAAAGCUGAAAAGUAACAAAGAGUGUGAGCUGGGGUGUAGUGGAGAAGAGAGUGGAUAAAUAAGAGUAUUUGUUCUCAGAGGGCAUUUUUUUAAACACAUUUCUCAUCAAUAAAUCAGUAAUAUCUGUUGAGCACCUACUGUAGCCAGAGCACUGUACUAAGCAUUUGGGAACAUACAGUGGAGUCGGUGGAUACGAUCCCUCCCUCGAAGCAGUAAGUAUUCAUCUGGGGAGACAGGAACUCAAAUAGUGAACCGAUGGGAGAGAGCUGGUCAAGAGCCUCGAAGUCAACCGUAAGGAGUUUUCACUAGCUGUCAAGGGAGAUGGACAGCCAUUAAUAGCUUUGAGAAGUGGAGAAUCCUCAACUGAACAGUGUUUCAGGAAGAAAAUCUGUGUUGAGCAUGGACUGAAAGGGGCCGGAUGCUGGAGGUAGGGAGAUUAGUGGGGAGGCUGAUAUGGUAGUCUUCUGGCGACACAAUCAGUGAUUGAACCAGUGUGGUGGCUGUCUGGGUGAAGAAGGGACAGAACUGGGAAAUAUGGCAAAGGAAAAAUCAGCAUUAUCUAGCAGCUAAGUGAAUUUGAGAGUUAAAAGACAGCAAGAAGUCCAGGGAGACACCCAGGGGUCACACAAAGAGUGUGGAACUCCAGCCAGCCCUGGAGAAUCUAACUCCUCUCUGCUUCACCUAAUUGCUGCUGGCAAUUUGAGGUCCGUUGUAAUUGGACAAAGGAAACUGGGAAGAAGAGUUUGCAAUAGCCACACUGCUUCACUGGGCACCUGAAGUAGAGCCCCCAUUCUGCAGUCCGGGAAACACCCAGAGAGGAAGAUGGAUUUACCUCUCCUUCCACAGUAGGGCAAUAGCAAAGUGAGAAAGAACCCCCAGGAGUCCAUCUGCUAAUCU
RNAcentral lists this long non-coding RNA (1189 nucleotides) under Ornithorhynchus anatinus (platypus). Its description in RNAcentral is "lncRNA (ENSOANG00000047730.1)". The record is from RNAcentral. Lineage: Eukaryota; Metazoa; Chordata; Mammalia; Monotremata; Ornithorhynchidae.